RNAcentral lists this ribosomal RNA (814 nucleotides) under human gut metagenome. Its description in RNAcentral is "bacterial SSU rRNA". It matches the Rfam family "Bacterial small subunit ribosomal RNA", at positions 542 to 1360 of the family's 1533-position model. The record is from RNAcentral.
UAUCCGGAUUUAUUGGGUUUAAAGGGUGCGUAGGCGGUUUGAUAAGUUAGAGGUGAAAUACCGGGGCUCAACUCCGGAACUGCCUCUAAUACUGUUGAACUAGAGAGUAGUUGCGGUAGGCGGAAUGUAUGGUGUAGCGGUGAAAUGCUUAGAGAUCAUACAGAACACCGAUUGCGAAGGCAGCUUACCAAACUAUAUCUGACGUUGAGGCACGAAAGCGUGGGGAGCAAACAGGAUUAGAUACCCUGGUAGUCCACGCAGUAAACGAUGAUAACUCGUUGUCGGCGAUACACAGUCGGUGACUAAGCGAAAGCGAUAAGUUAUCCACCUGGGGAGUACGUUCGCAAGAAUGAAACUCAAAGGAAUUGACGGGGGCCCGCACAAGCGGAGGAACAUGUGGUUUAAUUCGAUGAUACGCGAGGAACCUUACCCGGGCUUGAAAGUUAGUGACGAUUCUGGAAACAGGAUUUCCCUUCGGGGCACGAAACUAGGUGCUGCAUGGUUGUCGUCAGCUCGUGCCGUGAGGUGUCGGGUUAAGUCCCAUAACGAGCGCAACCCCUACCGUUAGUUGCCAUCAGGUCAAGCUGGGCACUCUGGCGGGACUGCCGGUGUAAGCCGAGAGGAAGGUGGGGAUGACGUCAAAUCAGCACGGCCCUUACGUCCGGGGCUACACACGUGUUACAAUGGUAGGUACAGAGGGCCGCUACCCCGUGAGGGGAUGCCAAUCUCGAAAGCCUAUCUCAGUUCGGAUUGGAGGCUGAAACCCGCCUCCAUGAAGUUGGAUUCGCUAGUAAUCGCGCAUCAGCCAUGGCGC